Molecule: small nucleolar RNA, 132 nt
Organism: Nomascus leucogenys (northern white-cheeked gibbon)
Lineage: Eukaryota; Metazoa; Chordata; Mammalia; Primates; Hylobatidae
Source: Ensembl
CACCCUCUUUCCACUUUGCCAACUGGAUGUAUGUCUUUACCGGUCAUUCCAGUGGGGCAAACAACAUAUCCUUUUUAAAACUCAGGCAAACUGGGUGUUUGUCAUGCAUGUAUCCUGUCAGACAAAACAAAC